CGCGAAACCUCUGCAAUAGGCGAAAGCUUGACAGGGUUACUCUGAGUGAUUUCCGUUAAGGAGAUCUUUUGGCACCUCUAAAAAUGGUGCAGAAUAAGGGGUGGGCAAGUCUGGUGUCAGCCGCCGCGGUAAUACCAGCACCCCGAGUGGUCGGGACGUUUAUUGGGCCUAAAGCAUCCGUAGCCGGUUCUACAAGUCUUCCGUUAAAUCCACCUGCUUAACAGAUGGGCUGCGGAAGAUACUAUAGAGCUAGGAGGCGGGAGAGGCAAGCGGUACUCGAUGGGUAGGGGUAAAAUCCGUUGAUCCAUUGAAGACCACCAGUGGCGAAGGCGGCUUGCCAGAACGCGCUCGACGGUGAGGGAUGAAAGCUGGGGGAGCAAACCGGAUUAGAUACCCGGGUAGUCCCAGCUGUAAACGAUGCAGACUCGGUGAUGAAUUGGCUUAUUGCUAANUCAGUGCCGCANGAAGC
This 469-nucleotide ribosomal RNA is filed under the name uncultured crenarchaeote. Its description in RNAcentral is "bacterial SSU rRNA". It matches the Rfam family "Archaeal small subunit ribosomal RNA", at positions 340 to 812 of the family's 1478-position model. The record is from RNAcentral. Lineage: Archaea; Thermoproteati; Thermoproteota.